UACAGAGGGUGCGAGCGUUAAUCGGAAUUACUGGGCGUAAAGCGCACGUAGGCGGCUUGGUAUGUCGGGUGUGAAAUCCCCGGGCUCAACCUGGGAACUGCAUCCGAAACUGCCUUGCUCGAGUAUGGGAGAGGGAAGUGGAAUUUCCGGUGUAGCGGUGAAAUGCGUAGAAAUCGGAAGGAACAUCAGUGGCGAAGGCGACUUCCUGGACCAAUACUGACGCUCAGGUGCGAAAGCGUGGGGAGCAAACAGG
This 253-nucleotide ribosomal RNA is filed under the name uncultured bacterium. RNAcentral describes it as "partial 16S ribosomal RNA". It matches the Rfam family "Bacterial small subunit ribosomal RNA", at positions 524 to 776 of the family's 1533-position model. The record is from RNAcentral.